Molecule: ribosomal RNA, 274 nt
Filed under: uncultured bacterium
Lineage: Bacteria
Description: partial 16S ribosomal RNA
Rfam family: Archaeal small subunit ribosomal RNA
Source: RNAcentral
AAACCAGCACCUCAAGUGGUCAGGAUGAUUAUUGGGCCUAAAGCAUCCGUAGCCUGGUGCAUAAGUUUUCGGUUAAAUCCAUAUGCUCAACAUAUGGGCCGCCGGGAAUACUGUGCACCUAGGGAGUGGGAGAGGUAGACGGUACUCGGUAGGAAGGGGUAAAAUCCUUUGAUCUACUGAUGACCACCUGUGGCGAAGGCGGUCUACCAGAACACGUUCGACGGUGAGGGAUGAAAGCUGGGGGAGCAAACCGGAUUAGAAACCCGAGUAGUCC